Small nuclear RNA from Ailuropoda melanoleuca (giant panda), 99 nucleotides. The record is from Ensembl. NCBI's taxonomy places the organism in Eukaryota, Metazoa, Chordata, Mammalia, Carnivora, Ursidae.
CCGUUCAGCAGCGCCUAUACUAAAAUCGGAAGGAUACAGAGAUUAGCGUGGCCCCUGCGCAAGGAUGAUAUGCAAAUUCAUAAAGCGUUCCAUAUUUUU